GCGGGGUUAGCUCAGUUGGGAGAGCGUCAGACUGAAGUGAAACUUCAUUAUUACAUAUUGUAUAUCUGAAGGUCGUGUGUUCAAUCCACACACACCGCA
Molecule: transfer RNA, 99 nt
Rfam family: tRNA
About the family: Transfer RNA (tRNA) molecules are approximately 80 nucleotides in length. Their secondary structure includes four short double-helical elements and three loops (D, anti-codon, and T loops).